AAACAUCUUUUCUUGUUAGUUUUUGAAGUAUGGCCUGCCCGCUGACGUUUAAGUUGAAGGGCCGCGGUAUUUUGACCGUGCAAAGGUAGCAUAAUCAUUAGUUCUUUAAUUGUGAUCUGGAAUGAAUGGCUUGACGAGGCAUGAGCUGUCUUAGUGUUGAAUGUUUUAUUGAAUUUGGUCUUUGAGUUAAAAUUCUUAGAUGUUUUUAUGGGACGAGAAGACCCUAUAGAGUUUAACAUUUGGUUUAUUUAUUUAUUGGUUGUUUGUUUGUUUUUUGGUAAGUGGGCCUUUUGUUUUGUUGGGGUGAUGAGAGGAAUGAUUUAACUCCUCUUGGUUUUGGUUAUAUUGAUUUAUAUUUAUUUGAUCCAUUUAUUUUGAUUAUAAGACUAAAUUACCUUAGGGA
Molecule: ribosomal RNA, 403 nt
Filed under: Coptotermes frenchi
Lineage: Eukaryota; Metazoa; Arthropoda; Insecta; Blattodea; Rhinotermitidae
Description: partial 16S ribosomal RNA
Source: RNAcentral